AACGAACGCUGGCGGCAGGCCUAACACAUGCAAGUCGAGCGGACCCUUCGGGGUUAGCGGCGGACGGGUGAGUAACGCGUGGGAACGUGCCCUUUGCUUCGGAAUAGCCCUGGGAAACUGGGAGUAAUACCGGAUACGCCCUUUUGGGGAAAGAUUUAUCGGCGAAGGAUCGGCCCGCGUUGGAUUAGGUAGUUGGUGGGGUAAUGGCCUACCAAGCCGAUGAUCCAUAGCUGGUUUGAGAGGAUGAUCAGCCACACUGGGACUGAGACACGGCCCAGACUCCUACGGGAGGCAGCAGUGGGGAAUCUUAGACAAUGGGGGAAACCCUGAUCUAGCCAUGCCGCGUGAGCGAUGAAGGCCUUAGGGUUGUAAAGCUCUUUCACCGGGGAAGAUAAUGACGGUACCCGGAGAAGAAGCCCCGGCUAACUCCGUG
This 433-nucleotide ribosomal RNA is filed under the name uncultured bacterium. RNAcentral's name for it is "partial 16S ribosomal RNA". It matches the Rfam family "Bacterial small subunit ribosomal RNA", at positions 29 to 507 of the family's 1533-position model. The record is from RNAcentral.